GACGAACGCUGGCGGCGUGCCUAAUACAUGCAAGUGGGACGCAAGGGAACACACUGUGCUUGCACACCGUGUUUUCUUGAGUCGCGAACGGGUGAGUAACGCGUAGGUAACCUGCCUAUUAGCGGGGGAUAACUAUUGGAAACGAUAGCUAAUACCGCAUAAUAUUAAUUAUUGCAUGAUAAUUGAUUGAAAGAUGCAAGCGCAUCACUAGUAGAUGGACCUGCGUUGUAUUAGCUAGUUGGUAAGGUAAGAGCUUACCAAGGCGACGAUACAUAGCCGACCUGAGAGGGUGAUCGGCCACACUGGGACUGAGACACGGCCCAGACUCCUACGGGAGGCAGCAGUAGGGAAUCUUCGGCAAUGGACGAAAGUCUGACCGAGCAACGCCGCGUGAGUGAAGAAGGUUUUUCGGAUCGUAAAGCUCUGUUGUAAAGUCAAAGAAACGUGUGUGAAG
This 454-nucleotide ribosomal RNA is filed under the name Streptococcus mutans. RNAcentral describes it as "bacterial SSU rRNA". It matches the Rfam family "Bacterial small subunit ribosomal RNA", at positions 28 to 463 of the family's 1533-position model. The record is from RNAcentral. Lineage: Bacteria; Bacillati; Bacillota; Bacilli; Lactobacillales; Streptococcaceae.